CGGGGAAGCGAGUAAAGUGGCGAACGGGUGAGUAACACGUAAGCAACCUACCUCUAAAUUUGGGAUAACCUUGCCAACGCGGGGCUAAUACCGGAUGUGAUUUUGAUUCCUCAUGGUUUUAAAAUUAAAGGUGACCUCUUCUUGAAAGUUACUGUUUAGAGAUGGGCUUGCGGACCAUUAGCUUGUUGGUAGGGUAAAGGCCUACCAAGGCUGCGAUGGUUAGCCGACCUGAGAGGGUGAUCGGCCACAUUGGGACUGAGAUACGGCCCAGACUCCUACGGGAGGCAGCAGUAGGGAAUUUUGCGCAAUGGACGAAAGUCUGACGCAGCAACGCCGCGUGAGGGAUGACGGCCUUCGGGUUGUAAACCUCUGUUGAUUGGGAAGAAAAGUCUUAUGGUUAAUACCCAUAGGAUAUGACGGUACCAUUCGAGGAAGCUCCGGCUAACUACGUGCCAGCAGCCGCGGUAAUACGUAGGGGGCAAGCGUUGUUCGGAAUCACUGGGUGUAAAGGGAGAGUAGGCGGGAAAGUAAGUUAGGAGUGAAAUACUCAGGCUCAACCCGGGGUCCGCUCUUAAUACUGUUUUUCUUGAGUGUUGGAGAGGUAGAUGGAAUUCAAGGUGUAGCGGUGGGAUGCGUAGAUAUCUUGAAGAACACCAGUUGCGAAGGCGGUCUACUGGCCAAAUACUGACGCUGAGGCUCGAAAGCUAGGGGAGCGAACAGGAUUAGAUACCCUGGUAGUCCUAGCCGUAAACGAUGGAUACUAGUUGCUGGAGGAGUCAAUCCUUUCAGUGACGAAGCUAACGCAUUAAGUAUCCACCUGGGGAGUACGCUCGCAAGGGUGAAACUCAAAGGAAUUGACGGGGGCCCGCACAAGCGGUGGAGUAUGUGCUCUAAUUCGAUGCAACGCGAAGAACCUUACCUGGGUUUGACAUGGGGUUGAAAGUCGCCAGAGAUGGUGUCCUUUCCUUCGGGAACAACCUACACAGGUGCUGCAUGGUUGUCGUCAGCUCGUGUCGUGAGAUGUUGGGUUAAGUCCCGCAACGAGCGCAACCCCUAUCCUUAGUUGCCAUCAGGUAAAGCUGGGAACUCUAGGGAGACUGCCUGGUAUAACCAGGAGGAAGGUGGGGAUGACGUCAAAUCAUCAUGGCCCUUACGCCCAGGGCUAGACACGUACUACAAUGGUCGGUACAACGGGAUGCAAGCCUGCGAAGGUUAGCUAAUCCCUUAAAACCGGUCUCAGUUCGGAUUGGAGUCUGCAACUCGACUCCAUGAAGGUGGAAUCGCUAGUAAUCGCGGAUCAGCAUGCCGCGGUGAAUACGUUCCCGGGCCUUGUACACACCGCCCGUCAAGCCAUGAAAGAUGGGAGUGCCCGAAGUCGUUUCUCUAACCCUCGGGAAGAGAACGCCUAAGGUAAGACCAUUAAUUGGGGCUAAGUCGGAACAAGGUA
RNAcentral lists this ribosomal RNA (1447 nucleotides) under metagenome. RNAcentral describes it as "bacterial SSU rRNA". It matches the Rfam family "Bacterial small subunit ribosomal RNA". The record is from RNAcentral.